UUGACUCCUGCAGAGCAGCAGUUACAGUAGAAAGACAAGAAGGAGCAGGUUGGAGUUCUGGUGCCUAGAUUCUCUAUUUGAUACACUGAGAAGGCUUCUCAGCCUGACAUCCAGCCCAGCAGAGAAUUUCAACAGGCCCGGCGACAGGGAAUGGCAGCGGUUGGCUCUGAGAGAGGGGUGGCUUCCAUUUCGUAGAGGGCUGCAGCAGCACCUUGGGACUCUGCGCUUGGUCGCACGACAACUGACUGCUAACGAAAAAACACCCACCCUACAGGAAAGUGUUCUGGACCACGGGAUGUUUGAAAAUACUGUAGUACUUCUCUCAGAACACACGCCUGGAAACAAAAGGACUCCAUC
This is a long non-coding RNA of Apus apus (common swift), 357 nucleotides long. RefSeq lists it as uncharacterized. The transcript is spliced from 3 exons. Lineage: Eukaryota; Metazoa; Chordata; Aves; Apodiformes; Apodidae. The record is from RefSeq and is a predicted model, not a curated record.